UGACCCGUAAAUUAAAGACCUGUCCCCUGACAUUGGGGUUCCAUAACAGGCCGGUAUAUACCUAAGGUCGGCAGAGACGGUGACGGGAUCCAACCUACAUUACUUUUCCCAGUCUACAAGACAGUAAUGAUGGUGUGUUUGAUGUGGCCCUCCGUGUGGCUAUCCAGGCUUAUAGUAGUGGGAGGGUGACCUGGUCUCCCCCUGCCCUCUUCUGCAGCUCCUGUGGGGUCAAGGUGGCGUACUUCCCGUUGACCGGCAGAACUGCACCAUGGUGUUCUAGUCCUACACCUACAUCAGAGGUGGACCUGCAGUACGGCCUGGAUAACCAGGGCAAUGAGAUCAAAUAGAUACAAUAUGAUGAGGGCUUCAGUGAUGAAGAUAUGAGAAGACACACACACACAUAUCCUGAACGAGAAGGGGAUUGAGUAGGGGUGUGCCGACAUGGACAUCCUCGUAUUCGUAAUUGUUUCCGUAAGUUGACAGUUGGCCGUUGGA
Salvelinus namaycush (lake trout) is the source of this 495-nucleotide long non-coding RNA. RefSeq lists it as uncharacterized. The record is from RefSeq and is a predicted model, not a curated record. The transcript is spliced from 3 exons. Lineage: Eukaryota; Metazoa; Chordata; Actinopteri; Salmoniformes; Salmonidae.